RNAcentral lists this ribosomal RNA (482 nucleotides) under uncultured bacterium. RNAcentral's name for it is "partial 16S ribosomal RNA". It matches the Rfam family "Bacterial small subunit ribosomal RNA", at positions 30 to 507 of the family's 1533-position model. The record is from RNAcentral.
AUUGAACGCUGGCGGCAUGCCUUACACAUGCAAGUCGAACGGUAACAGGUCUUCGGAUGCUGACGAGUGGCGAACGGGUGAGUAAUACAUCGGAACGUGCCCAGACGUGGGGGAUAACGAGGCGAAAGCUUUGCUAAUACCGCAUACGAUCUAAGGAUGAAAGCAGGGGACCGCAAGGCCUUGUGCGUUUGGAGCGGCCGAUGGCAGAUUAGGUAGUUGGUGGGAUAAAAGCUUACCAAGCCGACGAUCUGUAGCUGGUCUGAGAGGACGACCAGCCACACUGGGACUGAGACACGGCCCAGACUCCUACGGGAGGCAGCAGUGGGGAAUUUUGGACAAUGGGCGAAAGCCUGAUCCAGCAAUGCCGCGUGGAGGAUGAAGGCCUUCGGGUUGUAAACUGCUUUUGUACGGAACGAAAAGGCUCUGGCUAAUACCUGGGGCACAUGACGGUACCGUAAGAAUAAGCACCGGCUAACUACGUG